RNAcentral lists this ribosomal RNA (468 nucleotides) under uncultured bacterium. RNAcentral describes it as "partial 16S ribosomal RNA". It matches the Rfam family "Bacterial small subunit ribosomal RNA", at positions 28 to 507 of the family's 1533-position model. The record is from RNAcentral.
GACGAACGCUGGCGGUGUGCUUAACACAUGCAAGUCGAACGGUAAGGCCCUUUCGGGGGUACACGAGUGGCGAACGGGUGAGUAACACGUGAGUAACCUGCCCUCAUCUCUGGGAUAACAGUCGGGAACGGUUGCUAAUACUGGAUAUGAGCUUGCAAGGCAUCUUGUGGGUUGGAAAGAUUUUUUUUGGUUGGGGAUGGACUCGCGGCCUAUCAGCUUGUUGGUGAGGUAGUGGCUCACCAAGGCUUCGACGGGUAGCCGGCCUGAGAGGGCGACCGGCCACAUUGGGACUGAGAUACGGCCCAAACUCCUACGGGAGGCAGCAGUGGGGAAUAUUGCACAAUGGACGGAAGUCUGAUGCAGCAACGCCGCGUGCGGGAUGACGGCCUUCGGGUUGUAAACCGCUUUCAAUUGUGACGAAGCUUUUUUGUGACGGUAGCAGUAGAAGAAGCACCGGCUAACUACGUG